AUUGAACGCUGGCGGCACGCCUAACACAUGCAAGUCGAGCGGUAACAUGAGUAGUAGCAAUACUACUUGAUGACGAGCGGCGGACGGGUGAGGAAAACGUAGGAACAUGCCCUUUAGCGGGGGACAACCCAGGGAAACUUUGGCUAAUACCGCGUAAUCUCGCACGAGGACAGCUGCCCGCAAGGGUGGCGCUAAAGGCGGGGCCUGCGGCCGAUUAGCGAGUUGGUAAGGUAAAAGCUUACCAAGGCGAUGGUCGGUAACUGGUCUUAGAGGACGACCAGUCACACUGGGACUGAGACACGGCCCAGACUCCUACGGGAGGCAGCAGUGGGGAAUCUUGGACAAUGGGGGCAACCCUGAUCCAGCGAUGCCGCGUGAGUGAAGAAGGCCUUCGGGUCGUAAAGCUCUUUAGGCUGGGAAGAAGGUUGGUAGUUUAAGAGAUAAUCAACUUGACUGUACCGGCAGAAUAAGCACCGGCAAACUCUGUGCCAGCAGCCGCCGUAA
RNAcentral lists this ribosomal RNA (504 nucleotides) under uncultured bacterium. RNAcentral describes it as "partial 16S ribosomal RNA". It matches the Rfam family "Bacterial small subunit ribosomal RNA", at positions 30 to 523 of the family's 1533-position model. The record is from RNAcentral.